Molecule: long non-coding RNA, 672 nt
Organism: Xenopus laevis (African clawed frog)
Lineage: Eukaryota; Metazoa; Chordata; Amphibia; Anura; Pipidae
Exons: 2
Source: RefSeq, a predicted model, not a curated record
UGUCCCUUGAGGCUGUCUUGGAACCUUCCACAUGUGCAGUCCAAAAUGGUCCUGUGGAGCUGAGCUCAAUGAAAAUACAUGAACAACACUCACUGGAAAAUACCCUGGACAGUGUUUUUUAGCAUGUGUAACUUUCCUUCAAAGUGGGAGUCUUGUCAAGAAGCAGCUUUACCAUAUGAUCAGUGCUCUGCUGAAGAGGAAAAGGAAGAAAACAAGCAAUGCCAUAGGAGAGCAAAGGUUCACACAAGUACUGUUAGAAUAUUCUCCAGUUGCAAAUAUUUUAUUUAUAUGUAAUCAGGAAAAAGGAAAAAAAGAAAUAUUGCAGCUCAGAUGUCAAGUACCCAAAUCAUUUAAUUUCUGGGGGUGGGUUAAUUUCAUUUGGAAAAGGUGCAUUUGAAAAAAUUGAGGAUGUAAUAAAAUAAUUCUAAUGCUGAAAACAAAGAUAAUGAUGAAACUCAUACCUGUAUGGGAAAGAAAAACCUACAAAUUAUGAUAACUAGACCAGGUAGAUCGGGAUCUAUCAGUAGACCUUUAGCUGGUGAACAGUAGAGCUCAAGAAACUGUCAACAAUAAGCUUGUCUAUAUCAUCCUACUGCCUCAGGUGAAAACAGCAGCUAUUUCAAAUAAAUUUUCCCAGAAGUGCCGUCUGUCUGUGGAGUGUUUGUUAUAUCA